RNAcentral lists this transfer RNA (85 nucleotides) under Felis catus (domestic cat). It matches the Rfam family "tRNA". Rfam says of the family: Transfer RNA (tRNA) molecules are approximately 80 nucleotides in length. Their secondary structure includes four short double-helical elements and three loops (D, anti-codon, and T loops). Lineage: Eukaryota; Metazoa; Chordata; Mammalia; Carnivora; Felidae. RNAcentral also lists the same sequence under 1 other name. The record is from Rfam by way of RNAcentral.
GCCUGAGUGGCUCAGUUGGUUAAGCAUCUGACUUCAGCUCAGAUCAUGAUCUUGUGGUCCAUGGGUUCAAGCCCCAUGUUGGACU